ACGCUGGCGGCAUGCCUAACACAUGCAAGUCGAACGAGACCUUCGGGUCUAGUGGCGCACGGGUGCGUAACGCGUGGGAAUCUGCCCUAAGGUUCGGAAUAACUCAGGGAAACUUGAGCUAAUACCGGAUGAUGUCGCAAGACCAAAGAUUUAUUGCCUUUGGAUGAGCCCGCGUAGGAUUAGCUUGUUGGUGAGGUAAAGGCUCACCAAGGCUACGAUCCUAGCUGGUCUGAGAGGAUAUACCCCCACACUGGUACUGAGACACGGACCAGACUCCUACGGGAGGCAGCAGUAAGGAAUAUUGGUCAAUGGUGGCAACACUGAACCAGCCAUGCCGCGUGCAGGAUGACGGUUCUAUGAAUUGUAAACUGCUUUUAUACGGGAAAAAACUUUCGGACGUGUCCGAAACUGAUAGUACCGUAAGAGUAAGGACCGGCUAACUUCGUGCCAGCAGCCGCGGUAAGACGAAGGAUCCAAGCGUUAUCCGGAUUUAUUGGGUUUAAAGGGUGCGUAGGCGGACUUGUAAGUCAGCGGUGAAAGCCCGAUGCUUAACAUCGGAACUGCCAUUGAUACUGCAAGUCUUGAAUAUGUUUGAAGUGGGCGGAAUGUGUCGUGUAGCGGUGAAAUGCUUAGAUAUGACACAGAACACCGAUUGCGAAGGCAGCUCACUAAACCAUUAUUGACGCUGAGGCACGAAAGCG
RNAcentral lists this ribosomal RNA (701 nucleotides) under uncultured soil bacterium. RNAcentral's name for it is "bacterial SSU rRNA". It matches the Rfam family "Bacterial small subunit ribosomal RNA", at positions 33 to 761 of the family's 1533-position model. The record is from RNAcentral.